This 400-nucleotide ribosomal RNA is filed under the name Trichoniscus aphonicus codoricus. RNAcentral's name for it is "partial large subunit ribosomal RNA". It matches the Rfam family "Archaeal large subunit ribosomal RNA", at positions 2002 to 2638 of the family's 2987-position model. The record is from RNAcentral. Lineage: Eukaryota; Metazoa; Arthropoda; Malacostraca; Isopoda; Trichoniscidae.
GUACUGCCGCAGUAUUCUGACUGUGCUAAGGUAGCAUAAUAACUUGUCUUUUCAUUGGAGUCUAGAAUAAAUGGUCAAACGAAAAAAUAUAUAUUUUAGGCUAAUUAAAAUAAUUUUUUUUAAAAGUAAAAAAACUUUUACCAACUAAGGGGACGACAAGACCCUAAAAUCUGUCUUCAUAUAAAUGACGUAGAAAUAAAAUUAACAAAGACUUGCUGGGGCGGCAAACCUUAAAAACAAUUUAUAUACAGACACUUUUAGUGACUCUCCUUAACCUUUAUGUAAAUAAAUAGAUACUUUAGGGAUAACAGCAUAAUUUUUCUUCAGAGCUCUUAUCGCUAGAAAAGAUUAUGACCUCGAUGUUGAAUUGAGAGAACUAAAAUAGGCAGCCCUAUCUAAG